RNAcentral lists this ribosomal RNA (258 nucleotides) under Sutterella seckii. RNAcentral's name for it is "partial 23S ribosomal RNA". It matches the Rfam family "Bacterial large subunit ribosomal RNA", at positions 901 to 1155 of the family's 2925-position model. The record is from RNAcentral. Lineage: Bacteria; Pseudomonadati; Pseudomonadota; Betaproteobacteria; Burkholderiales; Sutterellaceae.
GGUAGAGCACUGUUAUGGCUAGGGGGACAUGGCGUCUUACCAAACCAUGGCAAACUCCGAAUACUUGGAAGUCAGAGCACGGGAGACAGAGCACCGGGUAGCUAACGUCCGGACUCAAAAGGGAAACAACCCAGACCGCCGGCUAAGGUCCCUAAUAUCGGCUAAGUGGAAAACGAAGUGGGAAGGCUAAGACAGUCAGGAAGUUGGCUUAGAAGCAGCCAUCCUUCAAAGAAAGCGUAAUAGCUCACUGAUCGAGUC